Long non-coding RNA from Ornithodoros turicata, 11868 nucleotides. RefSeq lists it as uncharacterized. The record is from RefSeq and is a predicted model, not a curated record. The transcript is spliced from 3 exons. Lineage: Eukaryota; Metazoa; Arthropoda; Arachnida; Ixodida; Argasidae.
GAGAAGGAAGGCGUCACCUCUUCCCGUCUUAUCAGAAACUGCGCGAAACUGCAGUUGUCCUUCCAGGUGCACACGGGUCAGACUGCCUGCCUUAUGGUCUGCUAACCCUAGCUAUCUUGUACGCCUCGAACUCCGCCCAAAGACCGACGAUGCUCAGCGGUUUUGACGGAGGGCCUCACUUUUUCUGACGUAUCUUCGCAUCAGGAUGGACGUUCGUGUGAAGUCAUACUGAAGGACCAUGGCCUCUCGGUCACUCUAGCCACUCUUGCACCACUCAACUUUCAACUAGAGGCACACAUGCACACGAUCGCUCUCUCUCUCUCGACCUGUCUCCGCAGAGGGGAGCGAUCGAGGGGCCGUGGUCGAACUCUCUUCAUGGGCCAGUACAACACUACUCACCGUGUCCAGUAUCCUGCUCUACGGUGCGAGACACCACAAUUCGUUUAAUGCUCACGAGCUUUUCAAAUUUCGAAAGAAAAUGCAAGUACCAAAGUUCCACCAAAUACAUAUUGAGAAUGCGUUGACGCGUCUGGCUGUGGGAGUACUCUUGUCCAACUCAUUUGUUUUCCUCCACCGCCCUCUUGGCGGCCGUGGGUUUCGGUACGUAUCGUUCCACUGCUUCUCUGCUAUUGUUCAGAGCAUUUCCAGAGCGUCAUUGCUUUGUUUUAUUUUUAUUUAUUUUUUAGUAUUCAACUUUCAUCUCUCGCCGGGUCUCCUCCAGCAGAUCGAACUACGAUUUCAGGAGCAUGCUUCUCCCCAGCUUCCUUUGCGUUUGUUCUUAAUAUCUUGUAGCCAGGCCUGUGAACUCCAUUCCCAAAGGGCACACCUAUCAGUCCACACUUUAUCUGUGGGUAAUACGUGCUCAUCCGAUAAGUUAAUUACUGGCAUUCUGUGCAGUAUAUGUACGUCUUGGUACUUGAUGCUGAUCGACACAGGGUCUCCGCCAAAAAUCGUUUCCAAUCUUUCGUACGCGGUAGGUUCAAUGUCCGGUUCGCUGAACAUCAUUAUCCCCCUCAGGUGACAAUCUUGAAAUGUGAACUGUGUGCCCCUGUUGAAGUUACGUAAGAAAUCUGCAUUUAAGUAGAAGUAACACAUAUAGAUAAUUAGAAAGGUCUUUCCUGCGGACAGCGGUGAAAAGAUACAAAGCGCUUCUUCUUCUUAGGGUAGGCAAGUCCACAUACCGCAGCUAACUCAUGCAAGAAUCGCAUGGAUUCCUCUUGACAUUGACAGAAGACGAGACGCUCUAAAAUAUCUACGGACUCUUCUAUAGAGACAAGUAUAGAUUACGAGCAGGGUGAACCGAGGAGCAAUGGCCACGUUAGUAUAAUAUUCCUCGUAGUCGCGGAAAGUCCAUCCUUUAGUAAGAGUGCGAAAGCUAUGUACAGCUAAAGCGUAAGCAGGAUAACCGCGAUUAAGCAUGGCACAUUCCGUUUAAAUCCAUUCGACUGUGCCGCAGGACGAUAUGAGUGAGGAAAAUGCCAAAACGUAAAAUCAUAACCCAUAAUUAGAUUAUAUUGAAAAUAUAUAUACACGUGCACUUUAGUGACUCGCAGUUGUUGUUGUUUUUUUUCUUCUUCUUCUUUCUUUGAGUUGGCCCUGGAGUCGGUCGAUCAUUUGGUGGAUCUCUGCCUGCAUCUGUGGUGUUUCCGGGUCCCAGUCUAUCGGAACAAUACACUAAGUGUGCGGAGUCUUCCAGCGCUCCUCGCGAGGUAGCUGAUGGUACCGAUCCCUCUCCAAAAGCUCUGAUUCGUACAGCACCCAAUGUCGAUAUGUUGUCCCCAGUUGUGAACGCAUACAAAUCGCCUUGGUGGUGGCGUGAAAUACUCCAGGGUGUCGAUGAGGUGUUGUUCCAUGAGAUCGCGAAUGGACGUACCCAAGCGCGAGCUGCGGCUAACGAUGGUGUUUCAUAGGAUCCGGCACCGACAGUACCUGUUGGAGUAUGCGCAUAUGUGGAGCAGGUGGAAGUGGUCCCGUCCAUCACAGACGAUGUUUUUAAUUUCUUGAAGGGAGGAUCCGAUAGCUGUUUCCCGGCAGGUGAAAUACUUUUCUGUGAAUACGAAUGGUCUGUAUUUGCUGUCGCCUCCGUUGAAGCUGAUGAAGAAGAAGUCGUCGGUUGUUAAUCAAGUUAAUCAAGAAUGUGAGAAACUGCAUAAACUCCUGUCGUUCUGCAUAAACUACCCCACAGUCUCAAGGACAAGAGAGAAAUGGCGACUCCCUCUCCAGGGGAUGCCUAGAUCCCCUCAUCUGCAGAGUCUAAACUCCCUUCGGCCAGAGGACAUAGGUGAUCCCCUCGCUGGAAAUGUUUCCAGAAGAUUCGGAACCAUCUGGGUAGGCGUUGGUUAUCCGUGAAGAGACACCAGAGGAUCGAGUGGCAUGUAUUGCUAGGAGUUUCACCCAGGUAACCUCCGCGUCUCACUUCGGUCUCGAAUAACACAAAAUAUAAGGUCGUUACAACCUGCCACUGAACAUGCCUCAAUUCAUUGGUAUCACAUACGACAGACAAUUCUGUGUACGGUAAUUACUAUAAUUACAAGCCCUACGCAGACACGGUACGAACUAGUCAUGUGUGGUGGCACAUUUGGCUGCUUGUCGCCCUUGGGCAAUAAAACACCAAAACCAACAAACAUACUUCACGUUUCCGAACUCAUUUGUGCCCGUGCUGUCGCUCGCGCACUGGAGUUGGCUGAACGUUCUGCGAUGAAGGCUCGCACAUGCGAAGAUAAUCGACGCCUGAUGAGAAGCUUACUUGGGCAUCCUGCAGUUUCGAUUGGGGUUUCGUGGUAAAUCAGUUGAACCAACCAGAGGUCUUAUUAAACUGUUUCGACACUCUUGCUGCUGUAUAAACAAUCUUAAAAUGUUGGGUCACAUGGGAACACUGUCCGAGCCGAGUAUUCGCUUUGAUGGAGGCAUUGAGUUCUAAGUCCACUUUUUCGAUGUUGUAAACGAGCAGACUACAGGAGCACUAUGGAAAGUGUUGGACGCACCUGCGUCAAUGGGCCUAUGCAGUGCAUUCACUAUCGAAUUUGAUCCGUCAGCUUCAUUUCUUUCCACAUGACCGGUGGCUUUUACAGUGACUCAUCACUGCAAGGCUGUUGGAUCUCGUGAAGCGUAGGCUUCUUUAGGUAUGCGUUUUGCCGAAGUGCUUUGGGCAAAACGAUUGACGGGAGCAGAAGGGUGUUGCCUAGCGGGUGCAUAACUGUGAAGAGGAUGAUCCCAGAGAAAAGGAUAAACACACAAGCUUUCUCACACAUGUGAUGUGUUGCUGACAGUUGCGACGCAGUACACAAAGGGCGAGACAGACGAUGUCGCACCUUUGUCUCGUCCUUUGUGUACUGCGUCGCAACUGUCAGCAAUAUGUACUAGAGUCACUAAAUAGGGAGCAUAGUAGCGACACUGAGCCACGUCGGCGAGCGAGCCCGCCAUUUUGAGUCAGGCGCGGCUGCGUCGCCUAGCAAUGGGACGCCAGUUCCCCCUCCUCCGGUGGAGAACAACGCGCAGUCGAGCCACCUCGCAACCCAGGAAACCGGUUUUGGAUGGAGGUAACUCAACAUGGACGGCGAGUUCUUGGAAGGAGAAACCACGUGGCACGUUCGGCCCAAUCGCAGACACUGAACGGCGGCUUCGGCGGGGAAAAGGAAUGCGAUACUCUGUACCCCUAUUUAGUGACACUAAUAUGUACCAACUUGCCCGGUAUUUGUUACAAUGUGUUGUGUGUUCUAGGGGCGGGUCUAAGAUUUUCCCGAGGGGGGGGGGGGUCCAUGUGGACAAAUGCCACGUGCAUUCUGGGAUUGGUCCGCUGAACCCUGUGUUCAAGUCUGUAAUUGAGGGGGUCCGGACCCCUGCCCCCCCCCUACAUCCGCGCCUGGUGUGUUCAUCCUUGUUUCGUGUAUCAUCCUCUUCGCAGUGCUUUGAGAACCUGCCAGAAUGUUGAGUUGUGAAUUGGGGACUGUACACUCUUCCGAGAGUAUUUCAUGCUGGGGUAGAUAUGCUGCUCAUCUUGCCUAUAGACCUGUUGCUCUGGUCCAGGUGGCGCAAGUGAGCAGCAACAUCAGCGCCCCAAAUUAUGCAACACUCCCUAGUUUAGCAGACGACGCGGCACUUUCAAAUACACGGUCCCGAGUUGUUCGCAGUUUUCAAGAAGCACCGAUUUUUCUGUGGAUUUCCUACAGGUUUUGUAGCUUUCCUUGGCACCAUACCGCUUGAAACAUCAUGCAAAACCCGCUGAUGAAACUCCUUACUGUUUGGAUCCGUGGCCGCUUGGGCCAGAAAUGGCGCUGUGCAAACUUCAGUGCAACAGCCCUAUAGCGGUUCGUGAAUUUGUACCCCAUAGCUGUUCCACGUUUGGGACUUGACCAGGCUACGUUGUGCGAAACAACAUACCAAGUUUGUCACAUGUGAUAGCUGGUAACGGUACAACAUUCCUAAAUGCAGCACGAAGAACGCAGACUGAUGGGGCAAUUGCAGACACUACUUACUCUGCACAGAACACUGCCUGUUCUCAUUCCUUGGAGUGGUCGCGCAAGUGUUUCUUUUACUGAUAAUGACUCUCUGUAGCUCCUCUUACGUAUAGGAAUUGCAUGCAGCCAGGACCGACGUCAGUUCCACUUGUAACACCAUGUUAUGAAAAAAGACGAUUCCAUUAGAGCUUUGUCUUCUUUAAGAGACGCCGGAAGUUGCGUAGAAUGAAGAUAGACCUACUCAUACAAACCGCGUGUGGCGCGUGGAUGUGAGGUACACGGACGAUGAAUUCUUCUUCUUUAUAAGGCAGAACACAAGGCCUACUCUUUAGGCCUCUUUAUUGUGUUCUAGAUAUCAUGGAAUACUGUUUUUCUCCACACAGUGGCAGAGGGUGGUGUGUCGCUAUUCUUGUAAACAAUCUGAAAGGCAAGCUGACAGAACUCAUGUGCCAAUGUGCCCAAAUAUAUCUGAGUCCAGAGCUGUCCUUUAAUUUUCGGCUCCUACGAAGGUUUGUUCUCUGUCAUGGUUCUUUGCGUUGGCGUUGUUCAGACACACAAUACCAUGCACGGGUAGCCUUCACUCUCGAAGUCAGUGUAGGUGUUCGAUGAUGAUGAUUUCUGUAGCAGCUACUCUCAAAUCGAAAGAACUUCGGCAACAUUGUUGUUCUGUGUUUUACAGUACGUCAAAAGCCCCAGGAGGACAUUAAAACGUUUAAUGUCUUCCGGAAAUGUCUUCCGUUUAGUGCCUCCUUUUAAUGUACAUACACCUGGUAAUUCACAUGGUACAUGUAUACAGCGGUACAACGACGGAAGUAGACGACAAUUCCCGACGUGCCCCAUGCACCUUAGGUGGCGUUCAUCAAAUUUGCACUAAAAAUCCACUAGUUUUGCAGAUUGUGAGAGGUAUCCAUUUCAAUCCCAUCCAAUCCACUUGCCACGCAAAAUGGCGCUGCCAGUGUUGGAUAGGGGGACAAAUAGUGAGGAUAGGUCGAUUGAUAGCGUCCUAUAUUUCGACACCCGAUUCGUCAGAGAGCUGAAAAAGUGGCUGGAGCUUCUGGUAUAGGCAUGACCCAUUAAUGGCCAGACUUCCUUUUAAUAUACGGCUCUAGCGUACCCACAUGCGGUAGAGAUAUGCGCGGCCUCCUGCUGCUUGCUGCGCGUAUGCAUGCCGCCCCAGCUCUACUGCGUCCUCCCGCGACUCUCCACAGCGAGAGCUUCUGGUUCCGUGUUUGACAAGAUGGCGAACGACAUCGAAGUCGAGCUACUGACAAUAGUGAACGCUUCAGUUCUUACAUAUGAGCUUUUGCGAAAUCAACAUUGCAGACGCAAGAAACGUAGGCUUUGGGUUCACUCACUGUGGCGAUAGCGCAUUCUUUUCUUGCGAACAAUGUUUAGCUUUCAAAUUCCUGACACUAUCUAUGACGGUUAAUAUCUUACACUUUACCUACCUGCCCUCCCACAUUUUACUGCAGUGUCGGCCCAAAAAGCCAUUUUAGGGCAACGCCUUACAAUGUAGGCAGCAAUGACAUUUUAUUUUCUUCAUAAAUUCGCCGAUUGAAAAACGUGAGCACCACUGCGACAUACCUUCCAGUCAACGAUGCCGUCAAUGCUCUGCGUGCGGGAGGCUGGAAGUUAAACUGCAUGCUGAUUGUGUCUGGAGUUUGUGUUGCAGUCCGUAACAUAGUGCAAUAGAAAAAUACGGUCCUGUUUGUUCCAGCAUUGUUGUCCUAAGACGAGUCGUGGUGCUUCGUCGAAAGAAUAAAUAUAUAUGCAGAAACAACUGCCUAUAUGACACGUGGGGCAUGGUUGCGUGGGAUGCGUACCACGAGCUCUUCUUCGACAUAAAGCACACGGCAAUUCCUCUGGCUCCUUAAAACUUGUUUGUUGGGUUUUCAAUACCGUUCAGAAUGUUUUUUUUUUCUCUCUCUCUCUCUCCCUACAAUGGACUAUGAGUUCUUUCCUGCCAUUUCUGUAGACAAGGUGACGAGCAAAGUGACAUAGCUCGUGGACGAGGGUUCCAAUGAACCUGUUGGGCCAUAACUUGUCGGUUGUGGUUCUUGUCAUCUUUUAUAGAUGGGUAGAAAUCCAGCGAACCCAGAAGAAGAACAGUCUCUGUUCGAAAUAUCGGCGGCUUCUGUCCUGAGGCAACUCCCUUCCUACUUGUCUUCUUUUAGCUUUGCCAGCUUUGAGGUUCUGUUCUUCAUCACAAGCGGCGCACAUGGGUGCAAGGAAAGCACAUUAUAUCCACUUAUCACAUCGAAUCAAGCUUCGGUCGCUUUUCUGUCAGAAAAUCAUCAGUACUCUAAUCAUCGUAAUCAGCUGUGAUCUUUCACCAGACCACAUCAACCGUUCAGUACUGUACUGUACCAUUGAAUACUGUACCCUACUGAAAAAACUAUCAGCCAAGUUUCUGCUUGUUCAUCAGAAUUCUACUGAUGCCUGUAAAUUGGUGCAGACCAGGCGUGACGGCUUGAUGGGACCACCAAAUCGUAUGAGUGGUGUACUGAUUCCUAACAAAAGACUGGUCUCUAACACAAUUAUAAAACAUAUUUAUUUGAAGCACACAACGAUACAUACAGGUGAGGGUUGGACCAUCUCGAAGCUGGAACACGAAUCCUCUUUUCAGAUAGUUACUGUCCAACUACCAUAUUUUGUUCUUUUCUUGAGCUUCUCUCCUUUACGUUUACGGAUCGCACAUGAAGGUACCUGAAUAAUAGACAAAAGUGUCAGAAGAACAUCUGCUAACUAACAAUGAAAUAUACCAGAGCACAAGAUCACACGUACAGCAACCGCAAACAGAAUGCGGCAUGGUUUGAGCGAAAACGAAUGCACCAUCAUGACUGAACUUCGACGUAUAUUGGUGCUGCAACGGUAUUUUAUUUCAAGAAUCUUCGUGACUGGAAACUAACCGUGGAAAACUGCUGCGGCGUCCCAACAUAUAACCCCAUUGAAAAAAUGAACAAUAAAAGAAACAGUUGCCGCAGCAGCUUUUAGUUGCCGUGAUUUGGGACAUUUCUGGAGUUUUCCUCUCCAGUGUUAACAUCAUUCCCUCUUGUUCCACGUGUAUUUUACCUUAUGUUCAGGCACCCUGGUGUUUUUGGUGUGUGUGGUCUGAUGCUGCACACCACAAUUCCUGGUGUCUUUUAUUGCGCCAUUGUUGCGCAUUAUGCGGUCUCACGCAUUCCAUUCCUUGAUGUGCUCCUCAGCACUCCCUCGAGUCACUAAAAGCUGCUCAUGUUUUCAUGUGACACAGGUGGAGGAUAUUUCUUGAAUAACUGAACAAUGGCCAACGGGUGGGUCUUCCUUUUGGACAUCGUACGUGGACAUCCAGAAUGACAUUUAAUGGACGCCUUACGGGACGUUACCAUCGAGCUCUCCCUCUUCCUCAUGCAUGCUUCACUGCACUUCCACUGUGCACGAAGCGUGACAAUAUUUUACAACAGUUCAAUUGUGAACAGCACUUUUAUUUGAUAGACAAAACAAACGUUACAACGGACUAAUUGAUAUAAUCAGUUGCACAGAACACGCAAGAGCAAUGACACUGACCCCCCAAAAUAGCAUAAAACAGAAUAUAUAGCUUAUUUAUUUAUUACUCUGCAUCAUCCGAAAUAAUCCUUAUGAGUGGUGCAUUUUACACGAGAGAAAGAAAGAAAAUAAACGUAACAGCAAAAACAGAUGACACCCUGAUCAAAAAAACCAAUGCUAAGCAUCGGAUAAGUAGCUAAGUAGAUCGCGUUUCAGUGCAUGCAGACGUUGAAAACCACACUGUACACGACUCUAUGGUCAAUGUCUAAAUGUUAUGUUGAUAUCACAAGAAUACCAAGCUAAGAGCAACACUUGGCAAUGUGUAACUGACAGUGGCAGGUAACGUGACGCAUCAAAUAAAACUCCCACAAAGGACAGGUCAAGCUGUCUUUGCUGUAAAUGGCUGAAUAUAUAGUAUUCGCCACUACUGUGGUGUUCGGUACAUACCACACUUUCUAUCAUAAGUAUAGAAUUUUGAAAGGAAUACUUAUACCCUUGUUACACGGUCAUUCUUAACCGCGGUUCUCAAUAACCGCCGUUACUCUACCUAAACGCGGUUAUCCUAAACCACCGUUCGCUGCUGUUACACGGCGUGUAUCAUCACAGUUUGGUGUGAUUACGUGGUUUCAAUCCCGCGGAUUAAUAUUUACUAAAUUGAGCACUUAGAAACGUAUAAAAUGAUUGAAUAAUAUAUUCCUAACAUACUUUUCCUGUAUCGACCUUCUUUUUAAACUAUAUAGCCAAAUAUUCGCACGGUUCCGUCGACCAUAGAGUUAAUAUAGGAAGACUCUAGAGAACGUACUUGGCGCACCGUCAAUGGGAUUCUCCUAUCCCAGAGCGUGAUCGCCCGGGCGCAGCCAUCAGUUGGUCAUGGACAGUGUUAGUGGACGAAUUUCAGCCCCCUAACUACAGCGGAGCUGCUCCGUUUGUUGCCAACCCUGUGCAGUUACGUGGGAUGACAGACGGUGGAACGACCCGAUGGAGGCAACGGCGUCCACCGUACGAAGCGAGGCCAGCCGACGAGUACGUACGAAUCUUCGGGAUACCUGCAGAAUUGAGUAGUGCUAUCGGAAUCACAAGGUAAACGUUGCCAUAUCAAACGUGAAUCAUAUCUUAUCUAUGAGAUACCUGCGACACCGCCAACACUUUGUUUUCCACUGACACGGAUGAAGAUGUUUACCGCCUAUGACUUGUUGAAGUGGCGUUUGUAUGCUUUGCGAGCGAAAUCAAUAAAUCGUUACCCAUCGUAACAAAUUUAGGCAUGUAUUUCCGAAGGCAACAGAAUUCCAAAGAUGAAUACACACAGUAAACCGCCAUUUUCAUGCUGCUCUGCGAACUAACAGGAACCGGAAAUGGCAAAAACGAAACCACCCCCCAUUCCAUGCUCUGGUCUGUCGAGUUUCGUGAUAAUAAAGUGACGAACGAAUUGCAGCACACAAGCAAGUGAUGUAGUGGGAAAAUAUUUACUGCUUACUUGUUUAACGAAUACAUAUGAGGUACAGAUUGGGACAAAAGUUUACGGAACACGCGAGCGACGUACUUUUUCUUCGGUGCGACACCCUAGCGGCAGCCGGAAGUGGGUGAGUUCACUGUUUCGGAGGGAUGGAAGGGUGCGCUGUGAGCGACACACAGCGGUAACUCGUACUUCCCUGGCACACCCAAGCGACACUGGAGCGACCACUGCGUGUCGCUAACAGCGCAUCCGUCCACCCCUCCGAAACAGUGAACUCACCCGCUUCCGGCAGCCGCUAGGGUGUCGCACCGAAGAAAAAGUACGUCGCUCGCGUGUUUCGUAAACUUUUGUCGUAAACGGUUAAUCGACUCUCUACCGGUCUAACUGGAAGUGCCGCCAUGUUAAGUCUCGAUCCAAAUCUCGCCAAGUCCGCUAUUCAGUCGGCUACCGCCUAGUGCGCAUCGAUGUAGUCUAGUUAUACGCCUGACCAUCUGACAGCCGAGAUGGAGACGCGCGAUGACGGUAUCAGCGUGCCCGCUGUUUCUGCUGCCUUUAAAUGUAAAGUUGCACAUAGUGGUAUGUUUUUUAAAACUGCGUAGCGAGUUGCAACACAUGUUUAGUUGUGAAGGUGACAGUUUAUGCACGAUGUCCUACAAACUUAGCGCAUUCGAGUCCUGCUGCGCUUGCGCCGUACGCAUUUCUUGCGUGAGCAACGAGAUGGCGCCACAGGCGCCUCGGCUAGGCAAGUCUGUUCCAAUAGUGACAAGCAAAUGGGUCUACUAAGCUGCCUAGUCAGGCGGCUUCGCGGGCGCGAGGUAUUGGAACGCAGCCUCGGUUUGGCUUGGCAGCCUAAACCGAGGUUGCCUAGCUCCGUUUGCUCUAACCGCCGUUAGCGGCGUAACUGCAGUGAGGCCGGCCGUGUAACUGUGGCGAACGGCGGUUACUCGUGAGUAACCGCGGUUUGUGUACCCACGGUUGAGAAUGGCCGUGUAACAAGGCUAUUAAAAACUGAGAGGAUAAGUAUAUAGCAUAAAUCUUUAGGAUAGCCGUACUUCUAAGUCAUGAGAAAAUGUAACCGAUGAAAACGACAUAGUGUAGCACUGUAGUCACUUUGGUAGGCAGUGCUGAUUUAAUUAAUAUCUUAUGUUGAAGUCUAAAACUGCAAUAUGUGUAAACACGGGCUGGCUAAAGUCGCGUGAGCUGUCCACGCGCCGCAUGUUUCAGAUAUUGCUGUAUGGUGCUCGUGAAUCUAUAUGCCCGUCUGCGAAGGUGAGCGCAUUUUUUUCCGAGAUGAACUCGUUCAUAGUGCGACGUUGUGCCCUGAACUUAUAUUUCUAAGGGUGCUUCCAGUUAUGCUCUGCAUGUGAGCUGUGUCGCGUGCGCUGGCUAUGUUUGAACAGAAUAUUCUGAGGGGAGCAAUGUGAAAUUGUGUUUCUUCAUACUCAGCUUGGGUUGAGUCUUCUUUUUUUAAGCUUGAGUACGUGCGUGCAUAGCAUUGUUUAAUAAGUGUUGGAGCGUCAGUGCGUCUUGAGCUUCACCACAUAGCGCCACUAUGCUAUUGUCAUUCUGCUCGAUUUAUUUAAUUUCGUGUGUUCAAUGUGCGCUGUCUAAAAUAAAAACGGACCCAAGCUCUAUUGGGUUUAUUGAUCAUUCAAGUUGUUUUUCUCUCAAAUCAGCUUCUCAGCACAGCAUCAACUAUCGAUGUUUUCUCGAUCAUGUGCUUCUUCCUGCUUAUUUCGAAUACGUGCUGGCUUCCCUGAUUAGCAUCACGAUGAGUUUUUUUGCACUUCCUUUAAUACACAUUGAAAUGUUUUUUUUUUGUGUGGUUCUGUCACAAAAUUCGUUCUCAAGAAUGAACACGUUUCAUUGCAUCAUUUGCCAUUCUGCUUGAUUGAAACGAUUUUUAGGUUGAACUGCAAAGCACACACAUCCUAAACGAUCCUAAGCUUUUUCUCAAGGGUGGGCUUGACCUAACGCACGCAUGCAACCAGGUGAAGCCAACUUUACUCGUGUAGGGUGUGUUUUGAGAUGUGUACCAUAAACACGUUUUUUUAUUUCCCCUUAGCAACUGUGGCUGUGUGAACAGCGGGAGGCGGCGGCAUGUAAGCUGUUCAGCCUUCUAACGCUGGCUCUCUAGAAGUAUGAACCAGUUGGAUAGAAAUGGGUCUAGCGAUGAGUGAAAAGUGCAGUUGGAGCCUGUUAAGGAGCUCUAGACAUAAGUGACCAAUGAGAGGCUUGUAGUCAGAUGGGCCAAUGAGCACAACCACUUGUAGUUAGAUGAACCGACAGCAGUUGGUGUCUAUCGAGGGAGCUGAGUGACCAAUGAGCGCAAGAGAUGACCGGGACCAAUGAUCUCUCUGAUGCAGCUGAACCAACCCACAGCUGGACCAAGAGGCUGUUGUACCAAAUAAAGGUUGAAAUCAACAAUUGUCA